Long non-coding RNA from Saccostrea cuccullata (small rock oyster), 3054 nucleotides. RefSeq lists it as uncharacterized. The transcript is spliced from 5 exons. The record is from RefSeq and is a predicted model, not a curated record. NCBI's taxonomy places the organism in Eukaryota, Metazoa, Mollusca, Bivalvia, Ostreida, Ostreidae.
GAUUUUACCCCAGUGAAAAAGGCUUGUAAUCCACAGUGAUCAGCUAAGAUGUUGUUUCACUGGAUUAUUUAAUUGGGCAUAUAAUUGGAUAAUUCUGGAUCAGCUGAGAUCUUAUUUCACUGGAUUAUUUAAUGCAUAGGCUAAUUGGGCAUAUAGUUGAAUAUCUCUGUCCUCAACCUGGAAGAAUUGGUUUGUUCUUAACCAUCUAUAAUCCAUUCUCUAUGAAGUUCAGACUGUCUGCUGUUCCUUUGGAAAUACACAGUUAGUCAACAAACAUAGAAACACACAAACUUGAAGGAUAUUCUAGUGAGGGCUUGUGGAAAUGAUCUAUGUCUACUCUCAGAAUGGUGAAAGACUAUCAGAUUAUGCAAAGACUAAUAGAAUAUCCUCUCUUAAAACACUGAAACAAGAAAAUCAAACAGGAGGUGGAUGGAGGAUUUAAGAAGCACAUAGAUAAAUAUGAUUUCAAAACCAAUUUAACCAGUAUGAUCAUAAACUGUGGUUUACAGGAUGACAAAGAAAGGAGCCAGGAUUGUAUCUUUCACUGUCAGACAAUGACUAUGGAUAAAGUGUAGCCAUUUAUCAGACUGAGAUCUAGUCAAAUCAAGUAUUGAAAAUAUGAAAAUAUGAUUUUCUGAUAGCAUGAGCUCUUUUAAAACUUAUUCUCACUGACCUCAAAGUAUGUGAAUGUGACUUUUAUUUUUACCAAUUCAUAUUGAAGACUGUUGUUAUGUAUGGGAAUUACACAUUAAAACCUUUUAUUUUUCAUCUAAUUUUUACAACCCCCUAGAAAUUAACACAGAUAUCCAGAUGCUGGAUUUAAUGUUAUUAUUUAACUUUCCUGGAAUUGUAAAUAUAUUUUGUUUGUGUAUGUAUCAUGUUUAAUUUUGAAUUUAAAAUUGGUCUCAAUAAGACCCCCAAUAAAGAUGCAAGUGUCCCAUAAUCUGUGUUUUAAUAAUAUCUUGAAUAUCUUUAUCAUACCAUAUUCAUCAUACUAAUUACAUAUAGAAUGGUUGUAGGAAUACACUUUGUUGUUAAGGACACUUUGUCAAGGUCAAAGCAUAAGAUUAUUGAGAUGACUUCUUUGACAAUAAUUUGUAACUUACAAACUUCACAUCAUAAGUACACACUCAGAUGAAGAAUCAAUAAGAUAUUUCUAUAGAGUUUUUGGAUCAUUUACUCCUGGGUAAAAGUUAAUUACUGAGAUUACUGAUUUGAAUCCUGUAAUGCAAUAACUUAAACAUUGUGUAAUAACUUAUAGACUUUAUAAAAAUUUGGUGCAAAUUCUUAGGUUUAGGGAAAAAGUCAAGAAUGUGGAUAUGACUUUUAUUCAAAUGGUGCAGUUCAGCAACUCUGGUGAUUAACAUACCUUCAGUCAUAAAUACAUGUAGAUAGGUAUUUGGAAGACUCCUUUAGAAUUUGAAAUUUUUAUUUCAAAAGUAUAGAAUUUAAGUUUGAAAGAUUUAAAAUGGCAGCAUAUCAUUUGCUUGUGAAUUAAAAAAAAUAAAUCCAAACAUAUACAUCUUUGGAUGAUAAUUGUAGAAAUCUAUCAAUUCCUGGACUUUCUGUCUUGAUAUUUUCCUUUAUUAUCUGUAAAAUUUUAAUGACUGUCUUUUUAGUUUAGUUGAACUAGUUUCUUAUUAGCAUGUGAAAAUGGCAUCAUCCAAAUAAGUUCAUCUACAUGUUAUAUGUAGGAGAGAAUUUUUCAUCACAGGGAAAGAAAGAGAUUGUCUUGUAUAAUAUAAUGCAUUUGUACACAAAAAUAUCUUUCAAUUUCUAACAUGUUUCAUUUUUGUUACAUUGUAAACAUUUCUAAGUAGGGCAUACAUCAGAAACUCUUAAAAUGAUCUCUACUGUUCUAUCUGAGCAUCAGGGUUUAACAGUACAUAACAAUUCCAAAUGAUUUUGGACGCUUUUUUAUGUAUCAAAAAGACAAAACAAAAUGUUUGUUCACAGAUGUUCCAAUGGAAAACAACCACAAAGAAAUGAUUUGAUAUGUUCUCUAUGUGAUUCAUGUAAAAUGUAUUUUAAAAUUGUAUCCUAACAUUUAUCUUUUGCAUAAAUACAUUUUUUUUUUUGUGGAGAAUUUCUCAUAACUUUGAAAAAAGUAGUCUUAUUGUAUAAUAAGGUUAACUUUAAAUUUUGUAGACUUAAAAGUUGUACAUGAUAUGUUACACAUCUUGCAUAUUUUCAUUUCAAGGCAUUCAGCAUAUAUUGUGGUUUUGUCUUAAAUUUGUUUGUUCAUGUAAUCAAUAAUUUGAGAAUUUCUCAUAACUUUGAAAAAAGUAGUCUUAUUGUAUAAUAAGGUUAACUUUAAAUUUUGUAGACUUAAAAGUUGUACAUGAUAUGUUACACAUCUUGCAUAUUUUCAUUUCAAGGCAUUCAGCAUAUAUUGUGGUUUUGUCUUAAAUUUGUUUGUUCAUGUAAUCAAUAAUUUGAGAAUUUCUCAUAACUUUGAAAAAAGUAGUCUUAUUGUAUAAUAAGGUUAACUUUAAAUUUUGUAGACUUAAAAGUUGUACAUGAUAUGUUACACAUCUUGCAUAUUUUCAUUUCAAGGCAUUCAGCAUAUAUUGUGGUUUUGUCUUAAAUUUGUUUGUUCAUGUAAUCAAUAAUUUGAGAAUUUCUCAUAACUUUGAAAAAAGUAGUCUUAUUGUAUAAUAAGGUUAACUUUAAAUUUUGUAGACUUAAAAGUUGUACAUGAUAUGUUACACAUCUUGCAUAUUUUCAUUUCAAGGCAUUCGGCAUAUAUUGUGGUUUUGUCUUAAAUUUGUUUGUUCAUGUAAUCAAUAAUUUGAGAAUACUCAAAUUAGAAAAUGUAUGAGAGAAUAGGCAAGAAAAUGAGGUUAAAAAUGUUUUUUACUACAAAGGGUUUAAUCUAUAUAUUUAUUUUAUAAGUACAAUCAGUCUAUACAUUUAAGGUAUUUCUGUAUGAAAUAAACUUACAUUUGAGUAUUUUAAGACAAUUGUAAACAUUAAUUUAACCAGUUUUAAAAAAUGAUUAGAUUCACUGUCAGCAUGUUAUUUCUUGUAAAAUAAAAAGAAAACAAACAAUUU